UGUGUUAAACCUCUUUAUACUAGUGCUCGUACUCGUGAUUCACUUUCUUCCUGAUAUAUCUUAACAUUGUAUAUUUCUAGUAUAGCAUGGCAGUAAGGAAGUAUUUAUAUUGCAUUUUGAUUUUUUUGGUUGGUUAAAUGAUGUAGUCCAGUUUUUCUUUCUAGGUCUAAGAUUUUAUUUCUGUUUUUUUUUUUUUUUUGAAAAGUCUUGGACCAAUUGUCUUCUGCAUUAUAUAGAGCCUAGUGGACUUGCAACAAAUCAAUCAAGCAAAGAAGAGGUUGAUUCCUGCUCGAUAUUUGUUGGCAAUGUUGAUUAUGCUUGCACCCCUGAAGAGGUUCAACAGCAUUUUUAGUCAUUUGGUACUGUUAACAGAGUCACCAUUCUCACUGACAGAAAUGGUCAGCCAAAGGGUUUUGCUUAUGUCGAAUUCUUGGAAGUUGAGGCAGUCCAAGAAGCCUUUUGGUUGCAUGAGUCUGAGCUUCAUGGUCGUCCAAUCAAGGUUGCCGCCAAACGAACCAACGUUCCAAGGCUGAAGCAGUUCCGUCCUCUGUGACAUAAUCCCUACCCGAUGUAUUCAUAUAGCAGGCCUCACAUGCCAUCCUGAUGUCGGGUUUGUGGACAAAGAAGCAGUCGCAGUUACCAGUGUGUCUCGGAAGGCAACUUUCUACAAUAGACCAAGCUCUACGGACUUCAUAAAUGUCCAUGACAUUUUUCUUGAAUGUGAUCAUGAUUCAAUCAUAUACCUUGGGAAGUCUGUUGAACCAACAAUAUAUGAUCUUUUGGGUGAUCAAGAGGUUUGUAAUCUGGACUUUUCUGAAAACUUUGUAAUAUCUUCUUUCUGCUAUGCUUCUUGGUUAUUUUGGAAUCUUUCUGCCACAAUUUUGCAAUGCAAGGUUGAAAUCUGCUUGUUGAAAAAUGGAAAACCAUCAUGGACGAAGAAGAAGUUUCUUUGCUCCAAAGUCAGGUUGUUACGUCUUAAGACUGGCUCGAGGUGACAAAAUAUGCUGAAUUGGUCUGUGCUUAGGCUCGUCAAGAAUUAAUUCAAGAUAUGUUUAAAGUCUGGCAAGAUUCUCAGCAAGGAACUCUUACUGGUGGCAUGAUAAAGUACUGUUGUUGAUUCUAAGAUAGGCCAUCCUACUGAAUUUGACUUCUACUUGUGCAGCCAUGCAAGCAUUCAAAUAACUCAUCUCACAACUAAUACCUUUUGUAUGAUGUACUUAUUCAGUGCCUUAUCAAAGGGGUAGAAAGAUUGGACUUUUUGAUGGAGCUGGUAUGGAGAAGACUAGAUUUAUUAUGGAACUAAUGAUCAAUAAUAUUGGAAAAAGUUGGCAUGAAAGAAUCAGCAAGCUGGAAAGAGGAUUCCAAUGAAAUCUUACAAGUUGAAGAUUGUGAUGGGAUUUGAGUUGACAAUAAUUAAGUGCAAUCCUACAUGACAUAAACCACCAUCACAAGUUUCUAGUCUUUUGGCUAUUGUUCAUUAGUUGCAAAUGGAGUUUAU
Molecule: long non-coding RNA, 1498 nt
Organism: Zingiber officinale
Lineage: Eukaryota; Viridiplantae; Streptophyta; Magnoliopsida; Zingiberales; Zingiberaceae
Exons: 7
Source: RefSeq, a predicted model, not a curated record